Bos taurus (domestic cattle) is the source of this 926-nucleotide long non-coding RNA. The record is from Ensembl. NCBI's taxonomy places the organism in Eukaryota, Metazoa, Chordata, Mammalia, Artiodactyla, Bovidae.
GUUCUAAUCCUUGGGCCAGAAUGGCUCCACCUGCUAGUUUAUUAAUGGGAAACAUUUGCCCUGAUGAUGGUUGUUAACCUGAGGGGCUGUAAGGGAUGGGUCUCAGUUGCUGGUUUCCCUGGUAACUGAGCCAACGUGAGGUCAAUUCCCCCUGUAAAAGGUAGUCUCCAACCACCUUUUAAAAGGUGGUCUUGCCCCCCCGCCCCCAGCCAAGACCACCGCUAUCACUGUGUCCUGCUCGCCACCUUGUCUGUCUGCCACAUGUGAUGGGUUGUUCCUCCAGGACUUUUCUUCAGUGAUCCAUAUCGGUGUGCAUUUUUGGGAAAGGAAGACCCUGGAGAUGAUAGUGUAUUCUUCUCAGUGCAUCAGGAGGCAUCCUGUGCUAAUCUGGCCCAUGUUUGUGACGUUAACCAUGAUCACUUGGUUAAGGUGGUGCUGUCAUAUUUUUCCACUGUAAAAUCACUUCUUCUCCUUUGUAAUCAAAGGCAUCUUCAUAUAUAUUUCUAAAAGCUUCAUUGAGAUAUCAUAAAAUUCAUCCACCUCAAGGCAUAAUUCAGUGAUUCUUUUAUUUUGGUAAAUUUAGCUGUGCAGCCAUCAUCACAAUCUAAUUUUUUAAAAAAUUUCCAUUGUCGCCACAAGACCCUCUGUCUCAUUUGCAGUAGAUUCCCAUUCGCACUCUCCACCCCAGGCAGUCACUACUUUCUGUAUCUAUAGAUUUGAUUUUGGGGGGUAUAUUUCCUUUAAAUGGAAUCAUACAAUGUAUAGUCUGUGUCCGACUGGCUCCAUUUAAAUUUACUCUGGUUAGAGAACUAGAUCCUGCAUUCCAAAACUAAGACCUGAAGUAGCCAAAUAAAACAUUUUUAAAAAUAACUUUACUCACUUGUAUAAUAUUUAAGACUAUAUCUAUUGUGUUGAUGAACCACAAC